UACGUAGGGUGCGAGCGUUGUCCGGAAUUAUUGGGCGUAAAGGGCUUGUAGGCGGUCUGUCGCGUCGGGUGUGAAAACUCAGGGCUUAACCCUGAGCCUGCUUCCGAUACGGGCAGACUAGAGGUAUGCAGGGGAGAACGGAAUUCCUGGUGUAGCGGUGGAAUGCGCAGAUAUCAGGAGGAACACCGGUGGCGAAGGCGGUUCUCUGGGCAUUACCUGACGCUGAGGAGCGAAAGUGUGGGGAGCGAACAGG
Molecule: ribosomal RNA, 253 nt
Filed under: uncultured bacterium
Lineage: Bacteria
Description: partial 16S ribosomal RNA
Rfam family: Bacterial small subunit ribosomal RNA
Source: RNAcentral